This is a long non-coding RNA of Amphiprion ocellaris (clown anemonefish), 1390 nucleotides long. The record is from Ensembl. NCBI's taxonomy places the organism in Eukaryota, Metazoa, Chordata, Actinopteri, Pomacentridae.
AGGGCACCAGUUAAACUUUAGAAGAUCAAAUUAAACAGAAGAAACAAUAAAAUGAUCAAAAGAGCAAAAACAGAUAAAGUGUUUUCUAGUCUGAAAUGAAAACAUCAAGUUGUUUCUUCAAACAUUUCCUCUUUCUAUGUUCUUGGUUUGAUUAUGGACAGAUUUACUAAGAACUCAUUUGAGAAAACUGCUUUCCAGAUAAAGUCUACUAGUAGUUGAAGGCAUUUAUCAAACUAAUGUUACCUUCUGAUCUCCACAAACUUUACUGUUCAGUGAAGAGAAUCAAAGUUUGUUGAGGAUUUCUAAAAAACCCACAGGUGAAGGUCUGAGAAGAACUCAGAUGGAUGGUCUAAAUGUGAAAUCAAGACUCAUGGUCACAAGUUUUAAGGCUUCUGUUAACCAUAAAGUUCAAACUAACAGAGAAGUACUGAGAAACUUUUAAAAUUUCAGUCCUCAGACUGUCUGAAGGUUCAAACUAACAGAGAUCUACUCAGGAACUUAGAAGAUAUCAGUCCUCAGACUGUCUGAAGGUUCAAACUAACAGAGAACUACUCAAGAACUUUUAAGAUUUCAGUCCUCAGACUGUGGAAAGGUUCAAACUAACAGAGAUCUACUCAGGAACUUAGAAGAUAUCAGUCCUCAGACUGUCUGAAGGUUCAAACUAACAGAGAUCUACUGUGGGACUUAGAAAAUUUCAGCCCUCAGACUGUGUGAAAGCUCAGGUCCUGAGGACUCGGGAGGUGUGGAGGCUUUGGAAAGUCUUGGAACUGAGGGUUCAACCCUCCAGCACAAAGGCUGAAGUCCAACCUCCUGAGAAAAACGGUCGAGAAAAGAGAAAGUAAAAAAAAAAACUCGAAAACGACAAAAAAUAGAUGAUAAAUGCGCAAAAAAAAGAAGAAUUAGUAUCUGAGCGAGUAGCUCAGGAGGAUAAGAAGAGGACUACCAAGCGGAGGGUCGCAGGUUCAAGACCUGCCAGUGGCAGUUUUCUUUCUUUGUCUUUGUCACACUUUUGAGAAAAUUUAAGAAGUGUCUGGUCUUGAACCAGCGACCUGCAGCUCCAUAGGCAAAUCCUUAACUCACUGAGCUACAGAUCAGAUGAAAAGAAAUAAAUUCGUCGUCCCUUUGGCAUCGAAGUUCCUGAAGUGACCACAUGGGCGGAGCCAAGGCGGAGUCUGGGUGGAGUCAGGGCGGAGAGUAGGCGGGGAGGUGGGUGGCGGCCUCCCCCCUCUACUCCCCCACCUCCCCCCACCGCCCACCACACCUUCCCCCGCCCGACGAGUUCUUCGAGUCUCCACGAGUCCUUCGAGUCUCCACAGGUUUUCCCGAGUUUCUGGAGUUUCCACCAGGUCGGAGGCAGAACAAGUUGUCAUGAAGAGGUGUUGAAAUCGGC